UGGUUCUGGCAUCGAUGAAGAACGCAGCGAAAUGCGAUAAGUAAUGUGAAUUGCAGAAUUCAGUGAAUCAUCGAAUCUUUGAACGCACAUUGCGCCCCCUGGCAUUCCGGGGGGCAUGCCUGUUCGAGCGUCAUUACACCACUCAAGCCUGGCUUGGUAUUGGAGGCCGCGAGCGAUCGCGCCUCUCAAAGUCACCGGCUGAGCCGUCCGUCUCCAAGCGUUGUGGCAACUAUCCGCGAGCGAGACCGGGCGACCCGGCCGUUAAACCCCCCAUCAAAGGUUGACCUCGGAUCAGGUAGGGAUACCCGCUGA
RNAcentral lists this unclassified non-coding RNA (312 nucleotides) under uncultured fungus. RNAcentral describes it as "partial contains 5.8S ribosomal RNA and internal transcribed spacer 2". The stretch from base 1 to 133 matches the Rfam family "5.8S ribosomal RNA", at positions 22 to 154 of the family's 154-position model. The record is from RNAcentral. Lineage: Eukaryota; Fungi.